RNAcentral lists this ribosomal RNA (643 nucleotides) under uncultured bacterium. Its description in RNAcentral is "bacterial SSU rRNA". It matches the Rfam family "Bacterial small subunit ribosomal RNA", at positions 232 to 885 of the family's 1533-position model. The record is from RNAcentral.
CGCGGCCUAUCAGCUUGUUGGUGGGGUAGUGGCUUACCAAGGCUUUGACGGGUAGCCGGCCUGAGAGGGUGACCGGCCACAUUGGGACUGAGAUACGGCCCAGACUCCUACGGGAGGCAGCAGUGGGGAAUAUUGCACAAUGGGCGGAAGCCUGAUGCAGCAACGCCGCGUGCGGGAUGACGGCCUUCGGGUUGUAAACCGCUUUCGCCUGUGACGAAGCGUGAGUGACGGUAAUGGGUAAAGAAGCACCGGCUAACUACGUGCCAGCAGCCGCGGUGAUACGUAGGGUGCGAGCGUUGUCCGGAUUUAUUGGGCGUAAAGGGCUCGUAGGUGGUUGAUCGCGUCGGAAGUGUAAUCUUGGGGCUUAACCCUGAGCGUGCUUUCGAUACGGGUUGACUUGAGGAAGGUAGGGGAGAAUGGAAUUCCUGGUGGAGCGGUGGAAUGCGCAGAUAUCAGGAGGAACACCAGUGGCGAAGGCGGUGCUCUGGGCCUUUCCUGACGCUGAGGAGCGAAAGCGUGGGGAGCGAACAGGCUUAGAUACCCUGGUAGUCCACGCUGUAAACGGUGGGUACUAGGUGUGGGGUCCAUUCCACGGGUUCCGUGCCGUAGCUAACGCUUUAAGUACCCCGCCUGGGGAGUACGG